Penaeus indicus is the source of this 449-nucleotide long non-coding RNA. RefSeq lists it as uncharacterized. The transcript has 3 exons. Lineage: Eukaryota; Metazoa; Arthropoda; Malacostraca; Decapoda; Penaeidae. The record is from RefSeq and is a predicted model, not a curated record.
ACAUUCAUCUCUUGCAUUCGUUCCUGCAACAUCUCAAUCAUGGUUUCUCGCGUCGUGUUGGUCGUACUGGUGGUGGUCGUCCUAGCGGCCGCAGCACUGGCUCUCCCUGACCCCACCAAACGGCACUUGGGAUACGGCUUGUACGGAGGAUACGGAGGAUACGGCCUCGGAGGAUUUGGCUUGGGAGGCUACGGAGGAUACGGAGGCUAUGGAUCCCACUAUCCUUAUUACGGAUCCUACUACGGAUAGGUGAGGCUGCCAUGUAACAUGUAAACACUGUUGCAUCUCUCACCUCCGACUUCGAACAAGUUGAUUCCAACUCCUUCCAAAAAUCGUCAAGGAUUUGAAUGGAUACGACAUGAACUGAUAUUUAUGUGAUAUACUUUAUACCGUUUCGCUUGCACUGCGAGAUAUGAUGAAUUUCUUUAUAAUAAAACAUACUUAUUAAA